RNAcentral lists this ribosomal RNA (468 nucleotides) under uncultured bacterium. RNAcentral's name for it is "partial 16S ribosomal RNA". It matches the Rfam family "Bacterial small subunit ribosomal RNA", at positions 28 to 507 of the family's 1533-position model. The record is from RNAcentral.
GACGAACGCUGGCGGCGUGCUUAACACAUGCAAGUCGAACGGAGAAGCCCUGCAUUUGUGGGGUGCUCGAGUGGCGAACGGGUGAGUAACACGUGAGUAACCUGCCCUUGACUUUGGGAUAACUUCAGGAAACUGGGGCUAAUACCGGAUAUGAGCUCCUUCUGCAUGGUGUGGGUUGGAAAAUUUCGGCGGUUGGGGAUGGACGUGCGGUUUAGCAGCUUGUUGGUGGGGUAGUGGCGUACCAAGGCUUUGACGGGAAGCCGGACUGAGAGGGUGACAGGCCCCAUUGGGACUGAGAAACGGCCAAGACUCCUACGGGAGGAAGCAGUGAGAGUUAUUGCGAACUGGGCGGCAGCAGGAAGCAGCAACUCCGCGUGCGGGAUGACUGCCGUCAGGUUGUAAACCGCUUUAGACUGUGAAGAAGAGUAAGUGACGGUAAUGGGUAAAGAAGCAACGGCUAACUACGUG